RNA transcript from Musa acuminata AAA Group (dessert banana), 3492 nucleotides. It is a transcript of the gene named oxysterol-binding protein-related protein 1C-like, with no coding region annotated. Lineage: Eukaryota; Viridiplantae; Streptophyta; Magnoliopsida; Zingiberales; Musaceae. The record is from RefSeq and is a predicted model, not a curated record. The transcript has 12 exons.
UGAUAUUGAUUUGUUUACCACGAAAUAACCGAACCACGCAUAGGGGAGAGACGAGCGCAGCCGCAGUGCCCGCACGUGGCCGCCGCGAUCUCCGUCUCCCUCGCCAUCUCCACCGCCUCCGUUUCUUCACCCUCCUCCUCUCUCGGUUCGUCUCAAUUCUUUUCUCAUAGAAUACAUCGACAGAUGAAUCCAUUCUGCUGCGCCUCCCCCGUCCCCGUCUCUCCCGUCGCCGCGGCCGCCUCCGCUUUCUCCUCUUCCGCAGCUACUCAUUCCCUCCCAGCCCUGCCCCCUCCUCCGCCUCCCCCUCCCCCGCCGCCCUCCUCCUCGGCGGCCGCCGGCCGCAGCCGCGACUCCUUUCCGCACCAGAACCAUAUCAACAACGGCGGCUCCUGCCGGCCAUCGGGCCCCGCCGGCGCCGCUGCCAGCGACCACGGCCGCCACCACCGCGCAUCUGGCCCAGCGCCGGAGAUCUUGGCCUCUGCCUCCCUUCGCUCUUCCUUCCAUGACGCUCCCCUCGAGCACCGCGAGGUCCGUCUCAACAACAUCGUGGGCAACGGGAUCGCUGGGAUUCUUCACAAGUGGGUCAAUUACGGCAAGGGCUGGCGGCCGCGCUGGUUCGUGCUCCAGGACGGCGUCCUCUCCUACUACAAGAUCCACGGCCCGGACCGCAUCGAGGUCAGCCAGGAAUCCGAGAAGGGCUCCAAGGUCAUUGGCGAGGAGUCUAUCCGCCGGAUCUCCCGCCGCAAGAACGGCCGUACCCACCUCCCCCGCAAGCCCAUCGGCGAAGUCCACCUCAAGGUUUCAUCGAUUCGGGAGAGUAGAUCAGAUGAUAAGAGGUUCUCCAUCUUUACCGGGACCAGGAGACUUCAUCUGAGGGCAGAGACGCGGGAGGAUCGGGUGGCAUGGAUGGAGUCGCUGCAGGCGGUAAAGGAUAUGUUUCCGAGGAAUUCAAACGGUGAGUUCACGGGAUCGGUGGACAAAGUGGUGGUGUCUACGGAUAAAUUGCGGCAGAGGCUACAGGAGGAAGGGGUGGGCGAGGCAACGAUUCAGGAAUGUGAGCAGAUCAUGAGAAGCGAAUUUGCUGCGCUGCAGAACCAGUUGAUGCUUCUUAAACAGAAUCAAAACCUCCUGGUUGACCAUCUUGGCCAAUUAGAGACAGAAAAGGUUGACUUAGAGAACACUGUGGUUGAUGAGGGUCAAAGACAAUCAAGACAAUCAAAAGAGUAUGGAUUGGCUGCUAGAUCAAGACAAGAGAAGUAUAGUGAAGAGAGUGCAAGUGAAUCUGAUUAUGACAAUGAAAAGCCUGAUGCUGCUGAGGAAGAGACUGAUGAAGAAGAUAAUACAUUUUUUGAUACACGUGAUUUUCUCUCAUCAAGUUCUUUUAAGAGCACUGAAUCUGACUUCCACAGAUCUGAAUUUGAUUCUGAUGAUGAGAAUGAUCACGGUGUUGAUUCUGUUGGUUCUAGUGAUUCUUCCAUGCAGUAUGUGGGAUAUAACUAUCCCUAUGUCAAAAGACGAAAAAAAUUGCCUGAUCCAAUUGAAAAGGAAAAAGGAGUGAGCCUCUGGUCGAUGAUUAAGGACAACAUUGGAAAGGAUCUUACCAAAGUUUGCCUUCCUGUGUAUUUCAAUGAACCACUUUCAUCCCUGCAAAAAUGUUUUGAGGACUUGGAAUAUUCUUACCUUGUUGAUCGAGCUUAUGAGUAUGGCAAAAAGGGCAAUGGUCUCAUGAGGAUGCUUAACGUUGCUGCUUUUGCUGUUUCUGGAUAUGCUUCUACGGAUGGCAGAACCUGCAAGCCCUUUAAUCCACUCCUGGGGGAAACAUACGAGGCUGAUUAUCCAGACAAAGGCCUUAGGUUCUUUUCAGAAAAGGUCAGUCAUCAUCCCAUGGUUGUUGCAUGUCAUUGUGAGGGUAAGGGAUGGAGGUUUUGGGGAGAUAGCAAUUUGAAAAGCAAGUUUUGGGGUCGCUCAAUUCAGGUUGAUCCUGUUGGUGUGCUAACCCUCGAAUUUGAUGAUGGUGAAGUUUUUCAAUGGAGCAAGGUGACAACAUCCAUUUAUAACCUUAUAUUGGGAAAACUUUAUUGUGAUCAUUAUGGUACUAUGCGAAUACAAGGAAAUCGUGAAUAUUCAUGCAAGUUAAAAUUUAAGGAGCAGUCAAUAAUAGACCGCAACCCUCAUCAGGUGCAAGGCAUAGUUCAGGAUCGCAGUGGCAAAACUGUGGCCACACUCAUUGGCAAAUGGGAUGAGAGCAUGCAUUAUGUGAAUGGAGAUUGCUCUGGAAAAGGGAAAGGAUCUGACCCGUUUUCUGAAGCCCACAUACUGUGGAAACGUAGCAAACCACCUAAAUAUCCUACCAGAUACAAUCUCACUCGUUUUGCAAUGACAAUCAAUGAACUCACUCCUGGAUUAAAGGAAAAAUUGCCACCAACAGAUUCAAGACUAAGGCCUGAUCAGAGGUGCUUGGAGAACGGGGAGUUUGAAAUGGCAAAUUCUGAGAAGUUGAGACUUGAACAGCGACAACGUCAGGCAAGAAAGAUGCAGGAAAGAGGCUGGAAACCUCGAUGGUUUGCAAAAGAUAAAGGAAGUGACAUGUACCGGUAUAUCGGUGGUUACUGGGAAGCCAGGGAAGAAGGCAAGUGGGAUGGAUGCCCUGAUAUUUUCGGCCAAGUCGCCAUUGAUCAAAUGAUCGACUAACUAGCAGUUCAAAAGGGUCAUCUGUUUGAGUAGAUUAUUACUUGUUGAAUGCAAUCUGGAGUCUGCUUAGUCGGGAUAUUGUAGAGAUCACACUGAAGAGAUAUCAUUAUUUGAUGUUGCUGUAAUUUAUUUCCUUGUGCUUGCCAUUUUACUCAUGCUUCUUGUAUUUCGUUGCAAUGCCUACACAUGAUCUAGGCUCAAGCUCUGCUCUGCUACACGGUAAGAUCCCUUACUGGUUCCUGCAGCAUUUCUUCACUCGUGCCUUGAAUUGUUUGUUCUCUUUUUUAGGAUUACUCUCUACUCUUCUUACCCUUUGCUUGACAUGUGAGCAGGAACCUGGAGGCCACAGUACUCCCUUCAGAGGGCAGAGGCUACACAGAUUCUUCAUCAUUGUCUCGCCUUCUAUGAUGAUAUCUACAGGAGAAAUGAACAGGAAAAGGUGAAGGCAGGAGGAAGAAUCAGACAGGUAACAGAUGCAAUCUCUGCUCUACAUGUCAAUGGAGACACUAUCGAGGACCUGAUCAUAAAAGAAGCAGCUCAAAGCUCGAUUAGUCUGCCACUUCAACCCAAAUCUUUUGCAAAGAUAACACGAGGAGUUUAAUAGCAAUCGAAGUUUGCUUCUGAUAAUUAGAUUUCAUGCACGCAAAGUAGAUGGUGGCAUUUACACUAUGGUGUGUAUGUAUAUAUCCCUCCUGAGAAAUUUAUUUGAUGUAUUUAUUCCUCUAUGUUUGAGCAUAUUUGUCUUGAUAAAAUUGUGGAUUUGCAUAUUUGCCUUAUAAGUGACAAAGACAUUUUUGUUUA